This 253-nucleotide ribosomal RNA is filed under the name uncultured bacterium. Its description in RNAcentral is "partial 16S ribosomal RNA". It matches the Rfam family "Bacterial small subunit ribosomal RNA", at positions 524 to 776 of the family's 1533-position model. The record is from RNAcentral.
UACGAGGGGGGCGAGCGUUGUUCGGAAUUAUUGGGCGUAAAGGGUGCGUAGGCGGUUUGAUAAGUCUUGUGUGAAAUCUCUGGGCUCAACCCAGAGUCUGCAUAGGAAACUGUCGGGCUUGAGUAUGGGAGAGGUGAGUGGAAUUCCUGGUGUAGCGGUGGAAUGCGCAGAUAUCAGGAGGAACACCAAUAGCGAAGGCAGCUCGCUGGGACGUUACUGACACUGAGGCGCGAAAGCGUGGGGAGCGAACAGG